Molecule: ribosomal RNA, 235 nt
Filed under: uncultured bacterium
Lineage: Bacteria
Description: partial 16S ribosomal RNA
Rfam family: Bacterial small subunit ribosomal RNA
Source: RNAcentral
GAUCCUGGCUCAGGACGAACGCUGGCGGCGCGCCUAACACAUGCAAGUCGAACGAGCGAGAGAGAGCUUGCUUUCUCGGGCGAGUGGCGAACGGGUGAGUAACGCGUGAGGAACCUGCCUCAAAGGGGGGGGACAACAGUUGGAAACGACUGCUAAUACCGCAUAAGCCCACGGUGCCGCAUGGCACAGAGGGAAAAGGAGCAAUCCGCUUUGAGAUGGCCUCGCGUCCGAUUAG